Molecule: unclassified non-coding RNA, 336 nt
Filed under: soil metagenome
Description: partial contains 5.8S ribosomal RNA, internal transcribed spacer 2, and large subunit ribosomal RNA
Rfam family: 5.8S ribosomal RNA (bases 1-120)
Source: RNAcentral
GAUGAAGAACGCAGCGAAAUGCGAUAAGUAAUGUGAAUUGCAGAAUUCAGUGAAUCAUCGAAUCUUUGAACGCACAUUGCGCCCCUUGGUAUUCCAUGGGGCAUGCCUGUUCGAGCGUCAUUUGUACCUUCAAGCUUUGCUUGGUGUUGGGUGUUUGUCUCGCCUUUGCGUGUAGACUCGCCUUAAAAUAAUUGGCAGCCGGCGUAUUGAUUUCGGAGCGCAGUACAUCUCGCGCUUUGCACUCAUAACGACAGCGUCCAAAAGUACAUUUUACACUCUUGACCUCGGAUCAGGUAGGGAUACCCGCUGAACUUAAGCAUAUCAAUAAGCGGAGGA